RNAcentral lists this ribosomal RNA (253 nucleotides) under uncultured bacterium. RNAcentral describes it as "partial 16S ribosomal RNA". It matches the Rfam family "Bacterial small subunit ribosomal RNA", at positions 524 to 777 of the family's 1533-position model. The record is from RNAcentral.
UACGAAGGGGGCUAGCGUUGCUCGGAAUCACUGGGCGUAAAGCGCACGUAGGCGGCUUUUUAAGUCAGGGGUGAAAUCCUGGAGCUCAACUCCAGAACUGCCUUUGAUACUGAGAGCUUGAGUCCGGGAGAGGUGAGUGGAACUGCGAGUGUAGAGGUGAAAUUCGUAGAUAUUCGCAAGAACACCAGUGGCGAAGGCGGCUCACUGGCCCGAUACUGACGCUGAGGCACGAAAGCGUGGGGAGCAAACAGGG